RNAcentral lists this long non-coding RNA (262 nucleotides) under Capsella grandiflora. RNAcentral describes it as "long non-coding RNA (CGRA_LNC000267)". The record is from RNAcentral. Lineage: Eukaryota; Viridiplantae; Streptophyta; Magnoliopsida; Brassicales; Brassicaceae.
UUCUAUUUAGAUUUGCGGUGAAAGAUUUUAAAGCCAAAACCCAAAUAUGUUAUUAUAUUAUUUUUGACAUAUGUUGGGAGGGAAACCUGCAAAAAUCAACUUAGACUAUUUGCUGGCAGCGUUUUUAUACCUAUGUUAUAAUACUCGGCAAAAAUCAACCAAAACUCACUAAAAAUUCAAAUUCCCAAUCUAAACUAUAUGAAACUAGCCAAAAUCAACAUAUGUCGAAACGGUGGUAGUUAAUAGCUUAACAUGAAUGAUU